Molecule: ribosomal RNA, 349 nt
Filed under: uncultured Providencia sp.
Lineage: Bacteria; Pseudomonadati; Pseudomonadota; Gammaproteobacteria; Enterobacterales; Morganellaceae
Description: SSU rRNA
Rfam family: Bacterial small subunit ribosomal RNA
Source: RNAcentral
CCUUACCUACUCUUGACAUCCAGAGAACUUAGCAGAGAUGCUUUGGUGCCUUCGGGAACUCUGAGACAGGUGCUGCAUGGCUGUCGUCAGCUCGUGUUGUGAAAUGUUGGGUUAAGUCCCGCAACGAGCGCAACCCUUAUCCUUUGUUGCCAGCGAUUCGGUCGGGAACUCAAAGGAGACUGCCGGUGAUAAACCGGAGGAAGGUGGGGAUGACGUCAAGUCAUCAUGGCCCUUACGAGCAGGGCUACACACGUGCUACAAUGGCGUAUACAAAGAGAAGCGACCUCGCGAGAGCAAGCGGAACUCAUAAAGUGUGUCGUAGUCCGGAUUGGAGUCUCCAACUCGACUC